RNAcentral lists this ribosomal RNA (497 nucleotides) under uncultured bacterium. RNAcentral describes it as "partial 16S ribosomal RNA". It matches the Rfam family "Bacterial small subunit ribosomal RNA", at positions 28 to 507 of the family's 1533-position model. The record is from RNAcentral.
GAUGAACGCUGGCGGCGUGCCUAAUACAUGCAAGUCGAGCGAACAGACGAGGAGCUUGCUCCUCUGACGUUAGCGGCGGACGGGUGAGUAACACGUGGAUAACCUACCUAUAAGACUGGGAUAACUUCGGGAAACCGGAGCUAAUACCGGAUAAUAUAUUGAACCGCAUGGUUCAAUAGUGAAAGACGGUUUUGCUGUCACUUAUAGAUGGUUCCGCGCCGGAUUAGCUAGUUGGUAGGGUAACGGCUUACCAAGGCAACGAUGCGUAGCCGACCUGAGAGGAUGAUCGGCCACACUGGAACUGAGACACGGUCCAGACUCCUACGGGAGGCAGCAGUGGGGAAUAUUGGACAAUGGGCGAAAGCCUGAUGCAGCCACACCGCGUGGGUGAAGAAGGCCUUCGGGUUGUAAAGCCCUUUUGUUGGGAAAGAAAAGCAGUAGAUUAAUCCCCCGCUGUUUUGACGGUACCCAAAGAAAAAGCACCGGCUAACUUCGUG